Molecule: long non-coding RNA, 1624 nt
Organism: Chinchilla lanigera (long-tailed chinchilla)
Lineage: Eukaryota; Metazoa; Chordata; Mammalia; Rodentia; Chinchillidae
Source: Ensembl
GCUGGAGGGUGUGCCAGGACAUUGAACAUCAGAACAAGCACCCUUCAGGCAACUGAAUAUCAGAGAGAUAUUUCUUUUUUUGGGGGGGGGGGUUUCUCCGGUACUGGGAACCGAACUCACGACCUUGUGCUUGCCAGGCAGGCGCUUUUGCCGCUGAGCUAAAUCCCCAGCCCCAGAGAGAUAUUUCUUAAUGGUGGGUGGGAACACUUUGUACAGCCAUCCCAUGAACAAUUGCCUUGUGCACCAAGCUUUGGCAUUGCCCUGCACGUGACAGGCAGUCUGGCCUGGUACACAUUCUGUUCCUUCAACGCACAGGAGGUCUAGGAAUGGUCCACCAGUAGCAGCUUCAUCUUCAGUUGGGUGCUUGUUGUCGCACACAGUGAAAGGAUCAGUCUGUUCUUCCUGGGGCUGCGCCCCAGCAGUGCCUUUUCCUCUUGUGUUAUAUAGGUUGUCUUUGGUGUUUUCUUCCAGAAGAGUCCUGUUUCAUCAUAGUUGAGCACUUGUUGAGCAACGUUUCCUACUGCCUUUAUGAAUUUUGUGAAUUCUUCUGCAAGGACCUCGUCAGAUUUGGAAGCCUCAUCACAUCUUAUCACACUGUGGAUGCCACUUCUCUUGUGGAAUUUAUCAAACCACCCUCUACUGGCUUUGAAUUCAUCACUUGUUGGACUUGUAAAGGAAGGGCACAAAGGUCAGGCUUAAGUGUACCAAGAUUUUCUGAACUUGUGCAUUGCAAUGUAACAAACUGGAAAUUGCAUUUCUCCUGGUUUUUCAUUGAAUUACACAGUCAGUGAAAACUGCCAACUUGCUGAUUAUAUAUAUUAUUAAGUCCAAAAGGCAAAAGGCUUGUCUCGCAGAUAUUUCCAAUCUGUAACUUUCCCAAGCAUUUCUUCACUAUUCUUGAAUUUUUAAAGUCAUUUAAAGAUGAUACAAUUUGGUUUCGCCAAUCCAGAACUAAAAGCACUCAAUAUGCAAAUGGUAACUCUGCUUAGCCUGGAGCCACUGACACCAGCAAGGGCGGAAGUAAUGGACCACCUUGUCGUUGCACAAUGCAGGUGGAAAUCCAGCUUUCUACUAAGCGUCAGUGAUGUCAACCGUGGUUGGAGAGCUGAGUUCUGUGCAACUCACCUUACACUACUGCCCUCAGUGUCUUGGCACCUGAGGGUGAUGGAGCUCAGUGCCCCUUCCGGCCACAGGAGCAGCUGGACAGAAUAUAGACUUCCCUGACACUCCUGCUAGAAUGUGCACAAGGCAUGAAGGAAACCAGGAAAUUACCUUUGUGCUGUUCUUGAGACUUUGGAAUCCCUGAAAGUCAAUGCCAUGAUGCUUAACUUUAUGUGUCAACUGUUUAGCAAAGAACCCAGCUAAGUGGUUGGACAUUUUUUGGGUAGAUCUUUAAGGAUAUUUCUGCAUUAUGAUAAAUAUAUGAAUCAGAAGACAUUCUUCAUCAGUGUGGGAUAUUUUGUGUUGUGUUUUGUCUGCUAGACACAGCAAGCCAUGGUGAUCAUGAAGAACAUACCAUGUUGUUUAUCACACAUUCAGGAAUGUAUUUUUAAAAAAUCAAGAUAACAAAGAUAAUAAAAGUAAUUUUCAGUGGGAAAUUAAUUCCUAAGAGUUGAUAAUAAAG